AAGUCGUAACAAGGUUUCCGUAGGUGAACCUGCGGAAGGAUCAUUAGUGAUUACGAAUGGGUUGCCUUUGGUGCUGGCUCUGCAAGGAGCAAGUGCACGUUGGUGGCUUUCAUCCAAUACCCAUGUGAACCUUUGGCCUCUUGCCAGCUUCGGCAGGCAGAGGAUUUUUUACACACACUCGAAUGUAAUGAAAACAAUUGUCGUGCGCAAGCACUAAUGUACAACUUUCAACAACGGAUCUCUUGGCUCUCGCAUCGAUGAAGAACGCAGCGAAAUGCGAUAAGUAAUGUGAAUUGCAGAAUUCAGUGAAUCAUCGAAUCUUUGAACGCACCUUGCACCCUUUGGCAUUCCGAAGGGUAUGCUCGUUUGAGUGUCAUUGUACUCUCACACUCUCUGAUCUUUUGGAUUUGGGGAGCGGUGGACUUGGGUUUGCUGCUUUCCUCGCAGCUCACCUCAAAUGAAUCAGUGCACCUCUUGGUUGGACAUAGUACGGCGUGAUAAGUGUCUUCGCCGGCACCUCGCAAGAGGGUGGACGAUCGAGAGCUCUGUGCUUUCAAACCGUCUCCGGACAAUCUCUGACAAUCUGACCUCAAAUCGAGUAGGACUACCCGCUGAACUUAA
Molecule: ribosomal RNA, 621 nt
Filed under: uncultured fungus
Lineage: Eukaryota; Fungi
Description: eukaryotic LSU rRNA
Rfam family: 5.8S ribosomal RNA (bases 223-376)
Source: RNAcentral